ACAGGGUGACAGGUGGUGCAUGGUUGUCGUCAGCUCGUGUCGUGAGAUGUUGGGUUAAGUCCCGCAACGAGCGCAACCCCUACGUUUAGUUGCUAACGCGUGAAGGCGAGCACUCUAGACGAACUGCCGUUGCAAAACGGAGGAAGGUGGGAUGACGUCAAAUCAUCAUGCCCCUUAUGUUCUGGGCUACACACGUGCUACAAUGGCCGGUACAGACGGACGCAAAGCCGCGAGGUGGAGCAAAUCCUAAAAAAGCCGGUCUCAGUUCGGAUUGCAGGCUGCAAUUCGCCUGCAUGAAGUCGGAAUCGCUAGUAAUCGCAGGUCAGCAUACUGCGGUCGAAUACGUUCCCGGGCCUU
This 357-nucleotide ribosomal RNA is filed under the name uncultured Pelotomaculum sp. Its description in RNAcentral is "bacterial SSU rRNA". It matches the Rfam family "Bacterial small subunit ribosomal RNA", at positions 1026 to 1382 of the family's 1533-position model. The record is from RNAcentral. Lineage: Bacteria; Bacillati; Bacillota; Clostridia; Eubacteriales; Desulfotomaculaceae.